This 253-nucleotide ribosomal RNA is filed under the name uncultured bacterium. RNAcentral describes it as "partial 16S ribosomal RNA". It matches the Rfam family "Bacterial small subunit ribosomal RNA", at positions 524 to 776 of the family's 1533-position model. The record is from RNAcentral.
UACGUAGGUGGCAAGCGUUGUCCGGAUUUACUGGGCGUAAAGAGCGCGCAGGCGGUCGUUCAAGUCGCGUGUGAAAGCCCCCGGCUCAACUGGGGAGGGUCACGCGAUACUGAUCGACUGGAAGGCAGGAGAGGGUAGUGGAAUUCCCGGUGUAGUGGUGAAAUGCGUAGAUAUCGGGAGGAACACCAGUGGCGAAGGCGGCGACCUGGCCAAUCACUGACACUGAGACGCGAAAGCGUGGGGAGCAAACAGG